Molecule: ribosomal RNA, 253 nt
Filed under: uncultured bacterium
Lineage: Bacteria
Description: partial 16S ribosomal RNA
Rfam family: Bacterial small subunit ribosomal RNA
Source: RNAcentral
UACGGGGGGGGCAAGCGUUGUUCGGAAUUACUGGGCGUAAAGAGCUCGUAGGCGGUCUGUCGCGUCUGCUGUGAAAACUCGGGGCUUAACCCCGGGCCUGCAGUGGGUACGGGCAGACUAGAGUGCGGUAGGGGAGACUGGAAUUCCUGGUGUAGCGGUGAAAUGCGUAGAUAUCGGGAGGAAUACCUAUGGCGAAAGCAGGCUACUGGACCGUCACUGACUCUGAUCUGCGAAAGCUAGGGGAGCAAACAGG